RNAcentral lists this small RNA (630 nucleotides) under Pongo abelii (Sumatran orangutan). RNAcentral describes it as "processed transcript". The record is from RNAcentral. Lineage: Eukaryota; Metazoa; Chordata; Mammalia; Primates; Hominidae.
GGCAACGCCCUGUGAUAAUUCCAGAUGAUUCUCUACAUCUGCAGCUUGAGGUGGGAAGUCUGAAGCUCAGAGAGCUUGGGCCAAUGGUGCAGGUCACACAGCACAUCAGCGGCUACAUGUGAGCUCAGACCUGGGUCUGCUGCUGUCUGUCUUCCCAAUAGCCAUGACCUUGACUGAUGCAGGUGUCCAGGGAUAUGUCCAUCCCCGUCCUGCUGGAGCCCAGAGCACGGAAGCCUGGCCCUCCGAGGAGACAGAAGGGAGUGUCGGGCACCAUGACAAGAGCUCAGCAGAAUAAAUAAGUUCUUUAAACAAUUUUAUGGCAUGAAGAAAUCUGGACCAGUUUCUUAAAUGGGAUUUCUGCCACAAACCUUGGAAGAAUCACGUCAUCUAAGCCCAAGGUGAAAACUACGUUGCGUAACAGAGAACAUGACUGCGCUCCACACACAUCCUCUGGCAAGGCGGGACACAGGCCAGCGACGGAACACUUGAGACAGGCCUGCAACCAUGCACAGUUCAGAAGCAGGUUUAAGCAUACUUGCUGCAGUGAGACUCCAUUUCUGUCUAAAGAAGAUGUCCCUGACUUUUUCUGCUUUUCAGCUCCAGUUCCCACAUGCACGUGUUGUGGUCCCC